GAUGAACGCUGGCGGCGUGCCUAAUACAUGCAAGUCGAGCGAACAGACGAGGAGCUUGCUCCUUUGACGUUAGCGGCGGACGGGUGAGUAACACGUGGGUAACCUACCUAUAAGACUGGGAUAACUUCGGGAAACCGGAGCUAGUACCGGAUAAUAUUUCGAACCGCAUGGUUCGAUAGUGAAAGAUGGCUUUGCUAUCACUUAUAGAUGGACCUGCGCCGUAUUAGCUAGUUGGUAAGGUAACGGCUUACCAAGGCAACGAUACGUAGCCGACCUGAGAGGGUGAUCGGCCACACUGGAACUGAGACACGGUCCAGGCUCCUACGGGAGGCAGCAGUAGGGAAUCUUCCGCAAUGGGCGAAAGCCUGACGGAGCAACGCCGCGUGAGUGAUGAAGGUCUUCGGAUCGUAAAACUCUGUUAUUAGGGAAGAACAAACGUGUAAGUAACUGUGCACGUCUUGACGGUACCUAAUCAGAAAGCCACGGCUAACUACGUG
Molecule: ribosomal RNA, 497 nt
Filed under: uncultured bacterium
Lineage: Bacteria
Description: partial 16S ribosomal RNA
Rfam family: Bacterial small subunit ribosomal RNA
Source: RNAcentral